ACUUGUUUGUAUACAACCACGCCCGGCAGGAUGACCACCAGAUGACCGGCCGCAGCAAUGCCUCCACUCAGUCCCAGUUGGGCAAAGUUUCACUCCACUGCGGCGACGUGAACAAGAAUCACGGCUUCCUUAUCGCUGCUGUGAGGUUCUGCCAUUCAUCUUGUCCUCUUCCUGGGACUGAGUGGAUACUUGUGCCAUUUUUCAAGAUCAAGAAUAUGGAAAAAAUGACUCCUUAGCUCUUCCUAUCCCUGAGAUUCCUCGACUUUGUAAUCUAUCAAUUACACAAUUCUCCAAUGUUUAAUAAUUUUGAGCCUCAAGAAAGACAUACAUUUUGUAACUUCAAAAAUCAUGCUUACAUAAAGCUCAAUGUUUUAAAACCAGCCAAACAAAAAAUAAUAUAGCAGAAGUCUGGGAUGGGUGAGGAGGACAGUCAGAUGGUCAGCUGAAAAUAUAAUAAUUCAG
RNAcentral lists this long non-coding RNA (462 nucleotides) under Homo sapiens (human). RNAcentral describes it as "non-protein coding lnc-GADD45A-9:1". The record is from RNAcentral. Lineage: Eukaryota; Metazoa; Chordata; Mammalia; Primates; Hominidae.